Long non-coding RNA from Ornithorhynchus anatinus (platypus), 694 nucleotides. RefSeq lists it as uncharacterized. Lineage: Eukaryota; Metazoa; Chordata; Mammalia; Monotremata; Ornithorhynchidae. The transcript has 2 exons. The record is from RefSeq and is a predicted model, not a curated record.
AAAGGAAGGGAUGCGGGCCAAAGUGGCUCACGGGCCGCCGGACCCGCUUCCCGGGCCCUCCUGGGGCCAGGCCGGGACCCGGGCCCGCGUUCAAGGUCACCCCGGCAAGUCGGCGGGGCCCGACUCCGGAAGUUAACGCCCGAGGCGCAGCCCGGAGGAACAGACGACCGUCCCCGGGGGCCGGACCGAUGCCGAGGCCCGCUUAUCGGAAGAAGAAAUUUCCACCCGAGGGCCAAACUACCGCCCUCGGGCCCGGGCUCCGUGACAGCCGUGCCGGCUCCAGGCGGCGCGGCCAACAGGCUAAGCCAGCUUUUUCGCCAGUCAGCCCAGCCCCCUGAAAGGAUAAACGAUCUUUCCACCACGGAACACUCUUCCGCUGGACCGACGGAUGUUUCCGGCCUGCCCGAGGUCCCGCUGUCACGAACUCCAAAUUGAAGUUCCAACAUGGGGAAGAAUGUCCUUCUUCCUCCUGGGCUUCCCACUUCCUAGCAUUAACGGGUGCGCCUCACCUCGCCGUGCCGCGAGAAGCAGCGGGGCGCCUAGCGGAAAUAGGCCGAGAACCUGGGCUCUCAUCCCGAUCUUAAGCGCGUCGUGGGCAGAGGACGGGCCUACCAACCCUGUCGUACUGCAUUCUCCCGAACGCUCGGUACGGUGCUCUGAACACAGUAGGCGCUCAAUAAAUAGGAGUGACUGA